This 259-nucleotide ribosomal RNA is filed under the name uncultured bacterium. Its description in RNAcentral is "partial 16S ribosomal RNA". The record is from RNAcentral.
GGACUACUAGGGUAUCUAAUCCUGUUUGUUUCCUAUGCCUUCGUCCUUCGACGUCAGUUUUUACACGAAAGAUUGCCUACGCCUUCACCAGUCCCCUAGGUAUCAACAAAUAUUAUCUCUACACUCUAGAGUACGAUCUUCCUUUAUUAAACUCUAGAAAAUUAUCCCCAUUUAAGGUAAUUUUUCCGUCUGAGUACCCUUUAAACCUAUUCAUGAUGAUUAACACUAGUCUCUUAUGUAUUACCGCGGCUGCUGGCAC